Molecule: ribosomal RNA, 96 nt
Filed under: Phascolarctos cinereus (koala)
Lineage: Eukaryota; Metazoa; Chordata; Mammalia; Diprotodontia; Phascolarctidae
Source: RNAcentral
CUAUGUGCUCAUAGCACCUGAUCUUGUUUGAUCUCAAGGUUGGGCCAGGUUAGUACUUGGAUGGGAGACUGCCUGGGAAAUACCAGGCUAAAUGGC